RNAcentral lists this ribosomal RNA (451 nucleotides) under uncultured bacterium. Its description in RNAcentral is "partial 16S ribosomal RNA". It matches the Rfam family "Bacterial small subunit ribosomal RNA", at positions 29 to 523 of the family's 1533-position model. The record is from RNAcentral.
AGCGAACGCUGGCGGCAGGCUUAACACAUGCAAGUCGAACGGGUGCAGCAAUGCAUCAGUGGCAGACGGGUGAGUAACACGUGGGAACCUUCCUAGGGGUACGGAACAACUCAGGGAAACUUGAGCUAAUACCGUAUACGUCCGUGAGGAGAAAGAUUUAUCGCCCUUAGACGGGCCCGCGUCGUAUUAGCUAGUUGGUGGGGUAACGGCCUACCAAGGCGACGAUCCGUAGCUGAUCUUAGAGGAUGAUCAGCCACACUGGGACUGAGACACGGCCCAGACUCCUACGGGAGGCAGCAGUGGGGAAUCUUGGACAAUGGGCGCAAGCCUGAUCCAGCCAUGCCGCGUGAGUGAAGAAGGUCUUCGGAUUGUAAAGCUCUUUUGCCAGGGACGAUAAUGACGGUACCUGGAGAAUAAGCCCCGGCAAACUUCGUGCCAGCCGCCGCAGUAA